Gasterosteus aculeatus aculeatus (three-spined stickleback) is the source of this 20992-nucleotide long non-coding RNA. Lineage: Eukaryota; Metazoa; Chordata; Actinopteri; Perciformes; Gasterosteidae. The record is from Ensembl.
GUCAGGAAGGAAUGAAACAGAUAGAGGCCGUCUCCACUGAAAGGAGAUGAGCGGCGAUUAGAGGCAUCAGAAGGAGAAUCGGCUUCAUCAGGAGAAACACCGUCCCUGCGGGGGACACGGGAUGGGCAAUCCGGAGGGGGAGAGCGCAUGGAAAACGGUGUUAAAUCAUCACCAUUAACAGAAAAUGAAACAAUAACGCCAUUGGACUUGUUGCAAGAUUGCAAUACUUGCUAAUGAAUAUCUAAAAACACCAACGGUGCACGGGGGAGGGAAGGGAAGUGGGAGGAGUAUUUAUAUUCAUGUAUUGUAUAUAAUGGUCUGGAGCGUUGGGGCCUCAGCGGGGAAACAGCCUUUGUUUUAAUUAACGGUUAAAUUGCUAGGCUGCUAAUACAAUAUAAUUUAUACAUAUAUAUUGGGUUAAUAACUUAGCCAGCACGAUCAAUCAUCUAAAGUCUCAUUUUCGGGAGCUAAAGAAAGCCCCAAUGUAGGCACGCGUUAAUGUUUAGUAUGUUGGCGUGUGUGUGUGUUGUAGUGGUAAAUGGUACAGAGCAGCAGCCAUGCCCGAGGUGGUGUUUUUAGAUUAGUAUCAGCUCUUAGCUGUACAUACCGGGAGGUCAUUUCCUAUAAGCCGAUGAGCCUAAUGUUUGGCAGUGUAACGUGUUGAGAAAGUAGCUGCAUGUGGCGGCGUGUGGAGCGUGUAGGUCAACAUGUCUAAAAUGAAUCCCUCCAGUCACCGUAAUAGACAAAAAAAAAAAACCUCUGCAAGGUGAAAUGUGUUUUAUAGCCUUCAUAUCCUAAAGGUAUGUCGAGUCGUGUCCUUUGCUACUUCAUGUACGGUGGAUUCAUUCAGUGCUUAAAAUAUGUUUAUGCAUGCGUGUGUGAGAUAGAGGACACGCGUGUGGGCAUGAGCCCAGCGAGGCAGAAAGGCUGCCAGCAGCCUUUGAGGAAGGAGCAUGUGUCCGGCGUCCACUGCUGUCGUGCUGGGUCACAGAUGUCACCUGCUGCAGUGGCCCGCCUUGCACCGCUUGCCCCCCGCCCCUCCCCCACCACGCCACCGCUUGUACAACAUCCCUGCUCCGGGGGGGGAACACAAGUAGCCCACAGUGUCGGUGGUUAUUUGGAGUAAAUAGGAUUGUUUUGGGAAUCAUACGCGGGUCAAAAAAACGUUCCCGGGACGUGCACAUGGGUCGCUCAGGACUAAAUAAGUAAAAUGCCAUCUGGGGCUACCGGCUAUGUUGCGCUGCCGUGACAAUGCCAAGUACUGACACGGCAAAGUUGAACUGAAUUAAACAGUACUGGCUGGUGGGUUGGUGGCCUUAAACACGGCAGAUUAGCCUGGAAAGAAGCCCGGCAGAGGAAAACGUGCUUAGAGGAUGUCAGCCAUGAGGAGAAGUGUGAAACCACCAUCCAACCAGAUAAAUCAAGGGCGAGACAAAGAGGCGUGUGUUUGUGAGUCUGCGGCGAGAGCAUAUAGACUGCUAAUGUUUUCGGGGGAGGUCCCAUCCAUUUGUGUGGUCAUCUUUUCGAGAGGGCCUUGAAAUUCCUUUUGCACGCCUCACCACUUGUUUGCUUUAGAAGCAAGAUGCUUUUUACCAGAGGAAUCCUCCAUGGUGAUUGUGGAUGUGUGCAUCUCUCACACACACACACACACACACACACACACACACACACACACACACACACACACACACACACACACACACACACACACACACACACACACACCACUGACAUUGCAGAAACAGACAAGUGGCUCCACCAGGUCUCCCGUGGAGCCUGUGCUGCACUGCAGCGACAGAUCAGGGCGGGACAGCGUGCCACGCUCCCGCCACACGCCAGCCUCCUCGCUCUGCACUCGCCACCAGCCGCGACUCGCUUCGCAUAAAACCAGCCAGGCAGUUCUGCAUGCCAGUUCCGUCUUGUUAACUUACUGCAUGGUUAGGAUUUUUAUUAUUUAUCAGCUAGUCCGUUUUUGUGUCUGAAUUUUUUUCAACGAAGAAUGAGGCGACGGUAGUGGAGAUUUGUCGAUUGCAAUUUUCUCGGCCCAUUCUGGUUGCAGAUUUAUUUAAAGUCUGACCUGCAGAUUCGUUUUGAGAACUACAGUUCUACAGAGAGCAAGAAAAACAUUAUUUAGAUAACGUCCUGGGACUUUCACAAAGAGUCAUUUAACCAUCCUAGAGUGUCAGAUAUUUAAAACGUUAUCGUCACCGGUGGUGGUCUUUUGUAUAAAGACACACAACUCAGAUAUUCAGAUACUGCUACAAUAAUGUGACACUAACUUCUCCUUAGUUCAGCCAAACAAGCUGCCAAAUUGGAGCUGCAACAAGAUGUAAGAGGUUCAAUCCGCGAUUUUAAAAGGCAGCUGAAGUGUAUGUGCAAACUGUUACAUGCUUGGUCUCGGACACAUGAUGCUGCCUUGUGCCAUUUCACAAAAAGUAAUGCAAGGUCAGUUUUUAUCAAUCGAGCAACCAGAGUGAUUACUUCAAGCAGCAAUUCUGCCAAAGUACCAAGAGCCAUUCUCCACAUUGUGAGCCGCAUCACUUCCUGUGUAUAAAGACUGAAUGGCACACCUGAAUAUGUGGGCCUCAUCUCCAUUUGAACAAUUUGCCGCAUCAUGUUCCUCUUUAUGACAGCAAGCCUGACAGAAAAACGUCUAGGUUGUAGCAAAGGAAACAAGUUAAUGAAAUUGUAGAAAAGAAAAAAAAAGAAAAUCAGGCUUGCUGUACAAGCGGAUUAAAACAACAAGUCGAAAAAUGUUUUUCUUUUAGUUUUUCUUAACAGUAAUAACUUCAGCUCUGUAAAACAGGGCCCGGAUGGCACCUAAAGGGUGACUCACAUUGUGUCGAUUGACUUGGGUACUUAGUGGUGAACUACACUUCUCAAAUCACAUUUUAGAAAGGUGCUAAAGUUUAACAUUCAGGGUUGGGGUCCAUAAUUUAGAUUUUCUGGAUUGGCUUGGAAGAAACCUCCAAGGAUCCAUUGAGGGUUCACUCAGGUAGGAGGGCCGGGGGCACUAGGAGCGCAACGUGGGGGCCUGGUGGGCGCACGCACCCAAUGCUUCUAAUCCCAGUUAAGACAAGCUCGGCAGGCCGGCCCACACAAAAGGAAGCUGGGUCCAGCGUUAGUGGAAUUAAAGCAAAGCCUCUCCUCUGUUGUUAGGCUAAUCCACAAGACAAUGAUUAUCGGCAGGGCAACGUUGCCACGGCGAUAACAUGGCUCAAGAGUGCCUCAAUUAGGGCACCAAUUUCCAGACGGGACCGAGUGAGGCCAAAAGAGGAAAAAAAGAGUGUGGGAAAAGCCUUUUGUUAUUCUAACCGAGUGGACGGGUCAGUUUUUCAAACCGAUUGACCUUGGCCAUUCUUGACCCACUCCAUGUUGUAAAGACGCCCCCUCUCACCGGGGCAAGCUCGAGCACAAGUACAUGUAAUUACCCCUCAAAUGGAGACAAGAGCACGUUAUUACGCAGCAACUACGGGGAACCAUUAUGGCUCAAAAUAACAUGAUCUUUGCACAGCGAGAGUGGAAUAAUGAAGAGUGAGUUUCCCUAAACGGGUUUUGGUUUGCCUCAUUCAUCCUCUUACGUGGCAGCGCAGCAGCUCAGGUGGUUGCACGCUUUGUUUUUUGUUUAAACAUCAAGAGUUGGAGGACAACCGUAACACUGGAUUCGUCUACAGUAAUCCUUCAUUUACUCUAUAAAUCAGAGUGUGGAGGCAAAGCCCUGGCCGGGUUUUUAAAGCUCCUCACUGAUGUGCCAAUUUCAAUUCUUUGCUGUCGUCACAAGAUCAAAGAAAGUAAACACCCGACUAGGGGAGGCUGCUUUUGCUUCUCUGGAGCGGCUUGUCACACUUUACAGAUGCAUAUUUGAGAACCUGGGAGUGUGGCUGCCGUCGCACGCGUCCUCGUCAAAAGCGGCUCCGGGUCGCAGACAGACGGAUGUGUACACCCUAUUGGUUCAGCCGUCUAGGCAGUCACGUCAUCAAGCUUUUUUGGCACGUGGUCAAUCACCGGCUCUCUCCCUCCUCGUACAUGGCCCGCAACUUCCACAGCAUAAUAAGCCUUGGACUGCUGGGUAACCUCAUCAAGUCCUAAUAAGGGCUCUUAUAUCUGGCUGGCAUGUUGGUAUUAAUCUUCCAAACCACAGCGAGAAUUGAGAAAUGGGUUCUGCCAGGCGGGGCCUUUUUUUAAAAUUGCCUCUGCCUUGAUGACACCGGCAAUGAAGAGCAAUGGGGGUCGGGAGGAGGGAUGGUACCAGGGACAGCAUGAAAAGGAGGGAGUGGGUGGUAACACCUUGUGAUGCAACACAUGAUGCAAAUGGUCUCAUGCUGGUUUGCCAGGGGCUUUGCCAGAGGUGGUCGCUGUGCUGCCACUCACACAAACUCUGACAGGGGGGACGGAGGGGAGUCAACGCAGCGGGAGGACGUGUAGAAAAGCACAGCUGGGGAAUGGGGUCCGAUAACUGGUCGCAUUUUGGAUGCAGUUUCCUGUCGGCAAAAACUCUGAUGCAUCUUUCAUCGGUCCUUUUAGUUUUACUGGCUUUGGCUCAUUGCACAGGAGGAGGGAUUUGGGACAAUUCAUUCAAGCUACUGGACGACCUGGUCUCACAGCCAGCUAGUCGAAUAAGUCAGUGCACCCCAAAACCCAUUUCCACUGCCCUGAAGUCAGUGUAAACAAUACAAAAGUCUAAAUGUUAUCUUUUUACUUCGUUAUAGUGACCUGUUUUUUCCUCAUUCAAGAGAAAAGAAAUUAAUUAAAACUACAAAUGACAAGAUUUUGUCCUGUGAGCUGCUGUUUAAGGAAAACAUCUUCAAAAAACCUGGAUCCAUUCGAGUUCCUCACCAAAACUACAUUUUAUGACGUGAACAUACCCGUCAUAAUUCCACCAAAGGGACCCUUCGCUCUCCUCCUGUCCAACCCAACACAGAUUAGUUGCUUACAAUGUAACAUCAGAGAUGGCCAACGAGCAGAGCCAGCUUGCCGAGGGUCCUAAUCGCAUAUCUUACAGAAUAUAGGCAGAUAACACCCAUCACUAAGACUUGAUUUCAAACAGUGCGAUUGAUUGUUGGUUAAAUCACUGCUGCUCGGUGCAGGUCGUAGAGGCGAAGGGGUCAAACAACAUCCCUGUGUUUCAAGUGAAUUGUCCCCCCCUCCUGUUGUAAUGGGAAACACAAUGAUUUUGUUACCUAAAACUAACUUCCUUCCAUAUUUAGAAAGUACUAGUGUACUUUCUACUAGUAGAGUGUCAUAGCUUGAAGUGUCGGUCCGGUGGUAGGAUCCAAUGACAUGCCGAUGAACCCCAACUCUACAACUUACGCGGGGAGGGCAAAGAGCAUCUUUGAGUCAAACAGAGCAAAGCGCACAUUUUGGGUGAGGUGGGGGGUCAGUCCAGCCGAACUACCAGCAAAAGAUAUUAUAAUUGGCAUUUUUUUUCAACCCAAUGAUCUCUUCGAGAUAAACCAAUGCUGAAAGCGAAUAGGGACAGAGCCAAAAAGGAAAGGAGCGGGAAAAAUAAACAGAUCACUAGAGAGCGCUUUGUACUUCUCCCCUUUUGUGGACCUUUAAGCAUCAAAGAGAAGCAGUAACUGUACCUCCCAAAUCCCAAAUUGAUAAAAGACCACACACCGCCCCAGAGACAGAUGCUUCAAAAUGUUAAGGGUUCACGCUGGUAAGAUCACACUCCCCACAUGCAACCAGCUGAACUUUAGAAACACUAGACGCUGGAGAACACUUAAUAACCCGCCCCUGUAUCAGUCACAUGCUGAGAUUAUAUCCUGAAGACAGAUGCUGUAAACUGUGUUGCAGACAUCCACGCUUCAGUCGGAUAGAACCAAGAAACGUGUCUGUUUCAUAAGACAUCCUUUGGCAAACAAUUGUUCUGCGAGGUGUGUCGGUAUAUCAAAGAUAAUAAUUCAAAUAUACACACGGCUGUCUAGCAAAUGUACAGCUCAACGUACCCUCAACAUAAUGAUUACCACUGUGUACACGGCCCUCUCACGUCUGAAAUAACACAUUUUAGAAGUGAUGUGGAACUGAAAAAUCGAUACGCCCCAUUGUGAAAAAGCCUUGUAAACAACAGGAUUGUUUUUUGUUUUUUGUAAUACAUGUUGCUUCACAAAAGAUGCGCAUUGCUUAUGCAACUGCAUUGACAUGGCAAGAAAAUGCGUAUUGAUGUUGUAGUAUAAAAUAAUUAAAUCAGUAUAAUACAACGCCUGCCACACAAGAAUUAUUCAUCGUUAUAUAACUAAUUCAAUAAUAUCGGGCAAGAGACUUUUCUGGCCCUGAGGAGACCCUUAAUAUCAAGAAAUAUCACUAAACAGAUUGGACAUUUCGGAGUGCCCCAUUAUAUAAGUUACUCUCACACUCCUCCUCGAUUUGUAUCAAGUGCCAUUUAUUAUAUAAAUACAUCCUAAAAUCCAUUCUAAUCGAACACACUGCAUCUGGAAUAUAUGGUGUUUUGUCGACAUUUUUGCCAUCACGAACUCGGAGGUAUUGCCUGCUGUCUUCGGGUGAGCAAAUUAGAUCGGUAGAACUGAAUGUCACAUCAUUGUGCGCGGAUCACAGUGUAAUCAACACCUUAACACUUCGGUGUCCUCCACUUGUACGAACAUGCAGAUAUUUCCUUCAAAUAAAAGGAUAGAAACACCAGAAUUGCCCGCUGCCGUUUGCAUGAUAUGACGAGGUGGAUCCGACUCAGCCAACUGCAGCAUACAAAAAUAAAAAUUGAACGUACCGUUUGCACUUAUGUGGUUAAAAUUGUCCUUUAUAAAGCAGGACAGUCAUGAUUUUCCAAUGUAUUCAAUUGAAUCCAACUAAGCCCUAAAAGGCAGUUCUGAGAAAAUAACCCAAAAGAACAAUUCACCCGCAGAUACUCAGACAGUUGAAAAUAUUCAAUAUGCGAUGAACAAUGCAUUCCAGGAGUUGUGCUGGGAUUGUGUACGAUUUUGUGUUACUCACUUUCUUUCAACCUUCCCUGUCUAAAUUGAAUUCAGUUAGUGAUUUCCUAUAUUUCCCAGGGCGCUUUUCAACAACCUGCGCAGAAAAGGGCCGUCUCACUCAAUGGAACUGUUGUAUUCAACUGUUGUAUGUAUGUGGGUUAUCUGUAUGUAGAGAUAAAAUGACACAAAAUAAUGUAAGCAUUUCAGAGCUUUUUAUUUUUAAAAAGGUCAAGAGCAAGUUCUCUCAACAGAACACAAAUUUCCGAUUCCUGCUUUACAUUUUGGUCUUUUGAGACAACCUAUUGGGGCAAUUACCAGAGCCGCCUGGUUAACAAUGGAUGGUCGAUCUUCAUCAUUUAAAGCAAAUGAGCAUGUCCCUCAAUAGCCGUUUGGUACCUUUUCCAAAUCAUGGGCUGAGGAAGAAAGAAGGCGCUUAUCUGCUGUACAGCUUACGAAGCCCCCCGAGGCCAAUUUCUGAUUUGCGAUAUUGAACUAUAACAAUAAAAUUGACUCUACAAUCAGGAAGUGUAUCUUCAUAUUCUGUGUAGAAUAAUAGAUGGGUCUCUUUGCAAUGGCUGACUGCAGAUUUUGCCGUAUAUUCACAAUGUGACUGCUGCCUGAUUGCUCCCCUGCUGCCUUUCAGAAGCGCCAUGCUGAGCCAGGUGACAGAACUCCCGCUACGGAAAUCCAAUCAGGCCAAUCCUCCACGAUCCCUUACAAUCCUCUCAGCCGCCGCCGUACACCGCAAGCCAUCGGUAACACACACUGCACAUGCCACACACACACAAUGAACUCAUUGAUAGCUGGGGAGAUCGCAACAUGCACAUUAUCCAACUCACCUCCUCUGAAAUGGGCAAAGCGGUUUUGGGUUGGUGGGGGGGGCGACUUAGUGGUCAGAGAAGCCUCGAGUCCCCUUCAGCUACAAGGACAACGUAGUGUAGCAGACCUUAUGUCGUGGCCUUGCAAUGGAGGCCACUGAGAUAAAUGUAUCCCUUGGGGAUCAAUAGUGUCACAGCUAAAAUUCCCAGACACUCCCACGGCAAACAAACCCUGCUGGUAGCAGGAAUGGCACCAGUGACAUAAUACCCCCACCCUCUGCACCCCCGCCCUCCUCCCUUGUGGAAAAGAUAAUACAGGCCUUUCAUAUUGGUCCAGGUCCCACCUUCCAAGGGCCCCGGGUUGAACCCUCUCUGGACCCGUGUGGAGGUCACAUACGGCCCACCCAAUACUGGCGAGCACUGUAUUGGAUACCACUGGCUAAAUGAGGGCCAUUCAAAUCGUCCUUGUUUGUGGCGGUGGAGUGGCUGCUGGGAAUUUGGACUUCCUGUAGAAAACCGAACAAUAUCCAAAAUCCCCAACGCAGAGGCGAGCCUGUCACACAACCUUUCGGCCCAAGUGUGGGAUCUGCACCCAUUCUGUCAGAUGAGCUCAGAGUCUUGUUCUCUUCUAUCCCCAUGUGUGUUUCUUUGUUGGCUUGCGCAUUCUGUGUUCUGGCUGCACAAUGAAUUUUGGGCUAUUGUCACUGUGAUCCUAAUGGCCAGUAUCUAGCUCUCUGGAAAUGUUUUAUUUGGGGGGGGGGGGGGGGGGGGCAGGGGAGGUUGAGGGGCUGAAGUAAGGAUGGGUGAUAUGACUUCGUACGCCUCGAGCUGUGCAGCUGUCCCAAUUACUACCUCUCCUUUCGUUCCGAGUUUGCCGUCCAAACCCAUCUGUCUCUCCCGCUCUUCAAAUCUCUGUCCCUUUUCCUUUCGUAGAUGCAGCUAGUGUGGGUAUGCGUUGCCAGGAGGUUGCCAUUCUCGAAAGAGCCCUUUAUAGACCCGAAGUAGGUUCAGAUCCCGUUUUAGGUUCGACGCUGUGGGCGCAGAAAGCCCAGACAGUGAAUUUCCCGCAGCAUCCCUGAAUCCCUCCAAGCCUGCUCUGAUCCUGGCAUGAGCUGAGGACUCAGACGGGCCGACAAGGCUGUUUGAUGGCACUAAGCAUCGGGGGAUUUUUUUAGUUAGGUAUGUGGGUGGGUGGCAGGGAUGGGGAAGGGUGGUAGUUUGUGUCCCGUGGUGAGUUCCCGAGCAAUGUCUGAUGAGCUAAAAACUCUCAGUGUGUGUCAUACCCAUGUGAAUACAGUUCAUCAUGCUGAGGAGGUGCCAUUCACUGCAUUCUUCUGGGGCCAAGCCUUGAAGGAGAUAUAUUAAACAAUGACAAUAUGUACACACACACGCACGUCACUGAAUGCAAAGGCGUGAAAGCGGCUGUGCACUAAGGGGCAGUUCAGUGCUUUCAACUGAAAAUGAGAAAGAAAGGGGAAGGAGAGACUUGUAGCACUGCAUGUGGAUGGGUAGAGGGUACAUGCCUAUUUCUGGAAGAAGGAAUAUUGUAAGACACACUUCCCAUCUCACGCUGGAUCAGCAAUACUCUCAGAGACACAGCAAGCACGCACACACACACACACACACACACACACACACACACACACACACACACACACAGACACACACACACACACACACACACACACACACACACACACACACACCCCCUUUCUGAUGCGAGUGCACUGCAGGCUGGGUAGCCUUCCCUCAGGGCUGAGCGGAGCUGGGGCAGCACACAGGAUCUCUGACGGGUCGGACCCCUCAGCCCAAACCCAACACACAUUCACACAUCCGGAAAACCCAUCCGUGACAGCUGUGGCGACGGCAUUGUGUGAUCUAGACCGAGUCCCUACACAAAUCCAAUCUGAUGCCACAUGGCUAUCGGGCACAGUUCCUAUUGUGCCUGUCUGAAUGGCUUCCUAAUCAGACAGGACCCCUUUCCUCCACUCGGCCUUCACACAUUCGGCAGAGUAAGACAGGCAGACAGCAGGGCAGGCCUGCUGGGGCCUUUUUUCUACAUGCUAUCAGUCUUGAUCGGGCUAGGCUGCUUAGGCUGAGCUUCAGCGGCCUCGUAGGGGCCGGCUUGCUUUUUUUCCAUGGAAACCUACCCCACACUCGUCCUGCAAUUGGCUCGGACGCUCACUAGACAGACACUGUCUUUCAGUACAGAUAAUAAUGGCCCUCAAGCGGGACGACAGCAGGACAAGACUGAUGGCAGAAGUUUUUUACCCUGCAGAGCCGUAUGUACCAACUACUCUGAUGUACAAGACAUCACUCCAUCAGCAUUUAUGGGAUUCGUUUUUUUCCAUCGAUUUACUGAUGACUGCAAGAAAAAAUAAAGGGUAGAUGAGACAGAAGCUCUCAGAAAAGUGGCGGCCAAAUACCCACACUGGACAUUAUUCACUGAACCAUGGGGAUGAAGCAGCGAAUUCUUUAUCUCCCCAACAGACCAAGUGCUUCAUAAUAGAAGACUCAGAAAUGAGUGCGUUUCCAUUCAUCUAUACAUAAUCAUUUCAGAUACACCAAAGGCGAAAAAGCUUAUUUUUUUCCACCACUCUAUUUACAGUACAUUGUCUCGAAGUGGGUUGCAGAAAUACCCUGCAUAGAGAUUAACUAUUGCAACAAAACAAUGCUUCCACAUUGAGCCUUCCUCUUUUGGUAGCAUUGCUACUUACUGCGGCUCGCUACGAGCAUCGCAGAGUCUUAGAGAGCCGCCUCACUUCAAUGUCCUUUGUGUUUUGUAAGCACGAAGCCCCCCAAACUGGAAAACAUGCCAUCAAAAUGUGUUUGUUUGUUUCCCCCCGUCGCUCUAUUCAGCCGUCUCCUCUCAUCCACCUGACACCGGAGGAAGAAAAUGUUGGUAUGCCUGGGACAACAGGGUGCAAAAAGAGGGAUGUAUGAACAGCACACUGAAGCCAAUAUCAAGCAUUACACACACACACACACACACACACACACACACACACAGUACAGUGAGCCAAAACACUGUGAUGCUUGAAAUUAGAAUGGCUUUUCAUGCAAACAGAGGCGCUUGCUGUGCAGGUGACAAGCUGGUACUGCCAACCGAAUUGAAAUGAAAAACAAAUCUGACUGCGAUUUCAUAAUGGGAGUCCACUUGACUCGGAGCGCAGCGCUGAACCAGGCGAACUGAGCUCGCCAUGUGACGAAUGGGCACGGUGUUAAAUACAGAUAAAGAGCUAUGAAAUUAGCCGCCGCCCAUUAUUUUUGGGGCUCAGGCGCACGGCGUCUAACCUCGCCGGCGGAGCAACACUGAUGUGUUUAACGAAGUCAUUAGUCAGGAAUGAAGACAGACAGCGGCGUGAGACGCGGAGGCACCAAAGGUCAAAAACUGAGAGAAGGGGGGGGGGGGGGAGAAAAGCGGAGGGAGGCGAGAGGGAGGAAAUAGCUGCAGUAAGGCGCUCUAGAGAGCCCACUGUACUGUAUUAAAAGAUGCAGUGUCAUGUGUUACAAAGCACGAGACGGCGAGUCCAACAUUUGUCCAAUGUGAUCGGAAACAACACAAACUUCUGCAAAAAAAAAAAAAAAAAAAAAACUUCAAAACGUGCCGAGUAAAUUCCAAUGGUUGGUUGGAGUGUUAUCGCUUCUAUUUAACGCAAGUGCUUCAUCAAAAUUACACAGCCUAAAAUAAACUGCUACAGUGUAAUUAUUUGCAGUUGGCUGAUAUAAAUGUCGGUGCCUAUUCAUUCCCAAAAUGGCGUGGCACAGAUCCAAGCAAAUUGCUCAGUCAGUCACUUUGCUUUAUGUCAAAUAAUUGGCCUCUGACAGCUUAAAAACACAGACAGGAGUCCAUCUGCAGGAGCACAUCCCUCUGCAAUCGGAGACAGAGCGCUCGUGCCACGGCAUUGACGGCUGUCACCGCAAUAUACACACACACACACACACACACACACACACACACACACACACACACACACACACACACACACGACUGUUUACUUAUUCAGGAAUGGGUGAGGGCAACUAACUCAAUCCAUCUGCUUCCAGUUGCCACGGCUGUCUUUAUUAGAUAACAUUAAUGAUGCAUUAGUUGUCAAUUCGGUGUCCAGUUUCUCCCUCGUCAGCGGCUCCAAUUCAAACAAGAACAAAGUAGAUAUCGGCCGCAAAUUGAUCGAAACAUCAAAAAAUUAAUUGCGGCACUAUAUAACAGGCCACAGAAGGACUGACAGGGAAAGAGGAACACAGCGUGUUGCAAUAUGUCUUGUAAUAUCACGGAAAGACACGCUGAUACAACGUACUACAGCUGAGGACACCGAAAAGCCUUGUCACCGGUAUCACACAUUGAUUUCACGUGAAAACAAAAAGAAGUAUUGCUCAUUAAAUCGGUCACAUGGAAUAUACAUUUUUAAAAAGGCUUUCAACUUCAGAUGUGGAGAUCAUGACAAUAUCAAUAUUACACACAUCCACAUCCACGGUGAUCUGCUGUGUGAGCUGUCCAUUUGCAUGUCAUCCUUAACAGUCUGUGAAGGCAGACACACAUCUUCCACAGAGGUGGGGGGUUUGAACCUCUAACCCCCCCAGCACCAGGAUGCCAGACUCUUUUAGAUGAGCUACACUGAAGCACAUACACCGUCUGCCUGUGCUGCCACCUCUUCUAUCAUCAUCAUCAUCCGCUGUGUAAAGUGCCCCCUCCUCCCAUUUCUUCCUCCGACUGUCCAGAGGAGGUGACAAUAAAAAUAUGAAGCUCGGACUGAGCGUAAUGUGACGUAAUGUGACGCAUUAUAAAUCAUUCAUAAAAAUAAAUAAAUGCAACACACUUCCAAGACGAGCAACAAAACGAAACGCACGCCCGGCUGCGAGGACUCUUUGCCGGACUAACGGGCAGCUGCUUUGUCCACACCGGAGGACACACGCACACUUGCCAGGGCGCCUCCCCGAGAGUCAUGUGUCUCUUAUUUCCUCGUUGUGUGCGUGUGUUUGUGUGCGCGUGGGGGUUAAAAGGCGAGUGCACCCUCGCCGGAAGGUGAUAACUUGAGUUAUGCGGCCACAAUUUGCUGGAUAUAAAAAAAAAAAAAAAAAAAGCAAAACAAACGCACCCCAUGCAGACAGCUAGCUUGCAUGCUACAUGCUUGUAGCCCCUGUUGAUGCCCGUUAGCUGUGAAAACAAACAGCAUCACUCCGCGCGGAGCAGGUAACGGACACCAGGUGGAAGUGUUCAAACACUUCCACUCUCUUCGCCCGGCUGAGAAUAACCAUCGGAAGGGCGAAAGCGCGGCGAGGGGCGCUGCGAGGUUCACCGGGCGGAACACCGCGAACCGAAUGCGUCCGAGUAACGGGCACCCGGUGUAACGGGGCACCAGAGAUUCCUAACCUACCGCGAGCGCCCUGUGGUCACCGGGGGUCUCAGCGGCGACGCAGUCAACAGGGCCGGGGGGCGACGACGUAGCGGGGAGGGGGAAUCUGUGAACCGAGCAACCGCAGCUACCAAAAACGUUUCCGCCGCGCGGCGGGGAUGGUAUCGCCUACCUCGACAUGGUAUACCGGCUUCCAGCGGCAUCCGACCGGGGCUGCGGAGACUCGGUCUGGCGCAGCUGAGGAUGGCUGUUCCCUUAACAACAAAAAAAAGCCUGCGGCGGAAACAGGAACUGGGGGAGCUGGGAUCUCUGAAUACGGCAGUCGAGGCGGCUCUGUGGGGAUCUGCUAGGUGGAUGGCGUGUCAGCGCGUACCGAAGGGAGGCGAGGGGGCUAUUUCAUAUCCUGUCCUGACUUCAGAUUAAAAGCCUGCGCGGCCACUGGAUAGCUCGCAACGCACCGGUUCGGCCUUUAAACAGCUAUAAUUUAGUGAUUUAUUUGCAUUUGACUGCUGUAGCUGUGAGGAAAUGACAGAUGUUUUUAUUACGGUAGGCAACCUUUAAGAUUAAGAACAAUACAUACUAGGUCAGAAAUUCGUUCUCUAGCAGAAUGAGUGUUUUAUUUUGACGGCAUGGCGGGUUCAUUUCCGGUGUGUUUCUGGCUGUCACCGGCUGACUUGGCUACGGAUGGAAGGCGGGUGGAGUGGAAGCUGCAGUGCGCACACCAGCGUUAUUUUGUUGUACUGCAGUCGGGCUCAGACAGAUUGGACAGACAGGUCUGGUGCCACCGGGGUGAUGAGGGGCACAACGAGGUGCAAAGUUUCCAUUUUGAAAUUAUUAUUCAACUUCUUGUUAAUUAGCCAUCAUAGACAACAUCCCACGUCUAAAUUGUGUUGAGGUGAUGGCAGAUGUCUGAGAUGUCUCAGUGUGUGACCAAAUAAACCCCUAAACUCUUAUACACAAAAACAUUUGAAUGUUGACAACAAAUGGCCCAAAAAAAUAUUCUUCAACUGCAUUUUGUUUUCGCCGCCAAUUUUCCGGAGCAAAUGACAAAGUGGUCUUACUGAAGUAUAAUUAAAGGAUGAGUGGGCUACUGAAUGGAAGUCUUAAUGUUACACGAUGCAAUUUACAGCUCUGCAUGACUCAGCUUUUUAAGAGAUUGAUGAUUUCUUUGCUGUAAAAGGUCUGGUGCAAUGGUCAUCCAUUUAUGUUGGUAAACCGCAUACCUGAGUGGACACAGCUUCUAGUCAGCAGCUACACACUAUAAACCCCUCUCGUAAAGGCCGGAGCUCAGCAGUCUCCCUGCAGAGACCUGCUUAUUCAGUAACUCACAGCCUUGGUUCACAAUAUCCAUUUUAAUCUGGUCUCAUUUGCUUUUCUUCAUGUCAGAGAAGAAUAUUAGCUUUUCAUCUAUUUGAAAAUGGAUGAAAAGCCAUUUCAUCUUCAGGUUAUUUUCAAAGCUAAAGAAAAGAAAUCAGAAGCCAAGGACCACUCUGUUAAUUAGGAUGUUUUUCUAUCCCCCAUUUUCAGUCCAACUGGAGACACUAAAUCAAAUUCAUAUUACCCCAGGGCUUUUCAUUUGGUGCUGUUUGGCCAUCUAUCUCUGAGUAAAUAUCCAGCAUGCCUCUGAGAGGCCUCAGUCCAGCGGCGAGGAGCUGAAUCACAAUAACAACCACCACCUACGUUUGGUACAUACAUAUUUCCCACUGUGAUCAACGGACUCCUAAAAAUGAUGCAGUGGCUCUCUCGUGUGGCGUAAAAGCCACAGUGCACUCCAAAUGUUCAAGGGGUUAGACAUUUAAAAAAUGGAAAUGUGACUCAGUAGACCUUUCACUUCUCUUUUUUUUUUUUUCAACCGGGCUUGUACUUGCACCAGAAAAACGACUCACAGUUCAGCAGUUCAACUGUAAUCGUCACCGGCAAAUAUUCAUGCACCUGCUCCUCCGCUGUAUAUGCACUGCUGCAGAGGAACAGCUGCCCCCAAAACACACACAGUAUAAUGUCAUCAGUCACUUGUCAUGUCAUCCUCAGUGUGGUUUGAGCGCGGGUGCAGGCUAGUCGAUCACUCCUGACCUGUUUUUCUUUGCUGACCUUUUCCAGAUUGAGACACAGAGGAAGAGUUUCCAAGGGCAAACAUGUGAUCUUUAUUCAAGCCGAAAGGCAAGCGGGAAUGCUUCAGAAUUACUGUCGAGGUUACGGAGAACCAAAUGUGUGAUGCCGCAUUAUGGAUGCAAAUGUAAGCUAAUAACCAGACUGAACCGCUAUUUAGUGUCAGAAACCAAAACAUCUGAGACGAAGGCAGCCGUUCUGUGAGCCGGCUCGCUCAGAUGCUUUAUUGGGCCAAGUGUCACGUUUUCAAGGGUCCCGAAAUCCAUCACACGCUUUGAAAUAAAAUGUAACCGAAUAAUUAGAGUGUCAUUAGGAUGUAAUUGUUAUAAAGCAUUCUGUGCUACAAAGCAUUUCAUGAAAUGUGGGACUUUUAAAUGACUGUAACAAAGAAAUAUAUUAAACACAGUCAGAUUUUUUAAUAUUCAUGGCAUGUGACUGAGAAAUCGCUACAUAAAUUCUGGCUAAAUUGUUUGAGAACAAAGCAGCUCCAGUUAGGGAAUUACACCAAGGUUGAAUAGAUAGAGGAAAAGCAAUAGACUGGAAUAUUAAGCAUGAUCCACUACAUGAAUCAUCUACAUGGCUUUUGAAGCUUAUCAAAAUGAGACGGCGAAUACAGACCGCGGGAUCGUUGCCAUAAUAGCUCAUUUAAUUAUAGUCAACAUAUUUAUUUACUUUACUGUUACUGUUACUGGAAGGCGGUCGGUCCUCAGAAUUUUUUUUAUAUAUUAGUAUUCCAGGCAAACAGAGGUUUGUUUUUUUGUCUUUCUUUCAGCCAACAUCCCCCAUCACUACCUUCAUGAGAGCAGCUGGAAAAAGGGCAGCAGGAGAGAUGGAGUUUCAACGACAUUGAAUGCAAUGCUGGUUUGCUAGAAGUUUCUCAUUAAAAGUUAGAAGGGAUUUUUGGAACGAGCCCAGAAUUAAAACAACCCAUUUACCCUCUAAGUGUGGCGUGACAGGUGGCGUUCCUAACAUACUGAUACAUGCUUUAUAACUCAUACAUAAGCUUUAUGCAAUCAAAGGUUUUGAUCCGCAUCCAGCAAUAUCAUUUAAAAUGAUUUACACACAGUGUUUUGCCCCUGUGUUUCAAAAGAGGCAAUUAUGCUGGUAUCGAUACACCAAUUAUGGUGUAGUGUCACUCGUGAGAGCCAUUUAGGACCCUGAGGUUCAUUGUGUGCAUGUCAAAAACAUUGAUGCCACAUUAAACGUUAUGAAACAUUUUGAUGCAAUCCUUGGAGUGGAAAUGCAAUUUAAUAGGACAACGUAUUUGCUUAGAUGUAACACUGGUCUCCUACAAAACACACAAAGAUAUCUGUGAAAUAUAACCCACAAAGUAAUUGGAACUGAUAAAACACAAAAGGAAAAAAAAAAUAUUUAAUAAGCAUCAAGCUGUGUUUUGAUGUUUCCUAUGUCAGUUUUCUUAAAUGUUGUUAAAUAAAGACAUUGCACCGGUUUUGAAUGAUAUCAAUCCAAGACGUUUUAAUUAAAUGCUGUAAGAGGCUUUAGCUAUAAAAGCUUUUUAUCACACCGGGUGUCACAGGAAUUUCAUCCUCUACUGAUCCGCAUCGUCACACGAGAGUCGUUACGUGGAAGUCACUUGAGAGUCAUUUCAAUCACAUAGAUUAAGGUGUGAAGGGACGUGAAGAUCAUGUCGGGAUGGAUUUAGAAGUUUGUUGGAUAAGGACAAGUGGAUUGAUGUUUUCAGGAACACAUUGUCACACAAAUCAAACUGUGAAGGACAUGUGAACAAUCCCCCUCAGCAAAAACAUUCACGGUAUAGAUUUAUGAAUGACACAAGAACGUUUGGUUUUUAUAUAAAUGCUACUGAAUUAGAGAUUUGUGCCUUAGAGUAUGAAAAAAACAAUAAUUUGAGUAAACAUCCUUUAACGGUGAGAUAUUUAAAGUGAGUACAGUGGAAAUCUGAGUGAUAAUAUCACCAUUUAAUUCCACAUGUUUAAUACUUACUACUACUAAAAAAAUAUUCUUUUGUAUGUCAGCAUUCCUGAAAUUAAUGAGGUAUAGGAAAAUGGGGUAUUACACAAUGCGUUCUCAAAUAGGGCAAAAAUAAACACUGAAAUGUGAAUGUUGGAUAUUUUCUUUCCAUGUUUAUGGAUCGUCUCUCCUUGAGAAAGAAAGAAAGUAGAUUGUUUUGAUGUGUAGCGAAAGGUCUAUAUCUAUGACCAUGUGUGCCUGCAAGUCAAUCAAUUCAAUCUUUAUGAAAAAAGGGGCAUUACUUCUCACAUCUGAAUCAUAAUGUGUUUUAACCACAUAAAGGUUCCACAGCCCCCUUCAAACCAAAGUCCCUAUUUAUUAUUUACUGCUUUGUGGAUGUGGAAUCGACCCUUGGAAUGUAUCAGUGACACUGAUGUGCUCUUGCUUUUCAAACAGCAGAUGUCAGUGUUACAUCACGUCUGCACAAAGUCAGUGUGAAUACGACCCUGAAUCACCACAUUUGUGUUUUACAGCGUGAACAUGUUGUGUGCCCCGUGGUGAUGUGCUGUGCACAUGGAUUGCAGUCUGUUCGUGUUACUAUGUGCACCCUGUUAUCCCUUUUUACGCCAUUGUUUCAUGUCACGUACUCCACCUCACUGGGCUGCUUCUGGAGAUAACGUGAAUGAGCAAACUGGUUAAAUGUACUGGAGAAAAGAAGGAACACCUCACCCAUUAUCAAAUAAAUGUUGCAGUGACUCAAGUCUCUCUCUCUCUUUCUCUCAUGAGCCUCCAGCAGGUGUCACUGAUGCCUCAUCGUAGGGACAGCAGCGCUGCUCCCACCACCCAGUUUUGUUACUGUGAAUGGCUCUCAUAAACCCCCUCGCCAUCAUCAUUAACACCAUCCUUUGAUUGCAGAAGGAAAAUGUUAACAAUAAUGUGAUGUCAUACUAACAAUAUUUACACAUUUACCAUAUGAUGGUAAGAGGAUUGCUAAGGUGAGUGUCAUGAAUACGUCAGUGCACACGCUUAAAUUUAAAAUAGAUUGUUCACAUCCUCAAAUUUGUUGGCCCCAACGCUCCAAAACUAAAAGACAUUUAGUUUAUUCUCACAAGAUCAAGAAAACCACAAAACCUGCUGCUUUUGCUCAGUUUUCUAUGGUUGAAGCAUUUGUGUCCUGUUGUUCGAAGAAAACAAGCAAUUAGAAGACACGCCUCGACCUCAAGGGCACUUUUAAAGAUGCGGACUGUCGCGUCACUGACAAGCCACUGACUAAAUAAUAAAAAAAGAUCAAUAAUGUAUUCGCUGAUGUUAGCUGCAGCCUUAAUUGGAAGGAAUCGCAAUUCUCUCGGCCCUCAUGUAUCACAGUAAUUGAGUGAAAAACACCCGCUCUCUGUGUAGCCUGUCAAACAUUUCCCAACUCAUUCACGAGGGUUCAUUAAUUUCACCGACACGUGGCGAGCUCCAAGCUUCUAUUCAUUUUUAAUCCACACUUUCCAUCUUUUCCAAUUGCACCUCCGUUGUUUCUUUCACACUUUCAUUUCUCCAAAAAAAAAAAAAAAAAGCUGCUUGGGCUCUUGCAGAGCAAAUAUAGUGAAUGAAUUUGUAGCACUGCUCCACAAUAUCUGGUUGAGAGAUUUCAAUGUUUACGAUGGGUGAUUUCGAGAGCUCUCCCUUGACAGCUAAGCGGACAUCUGCUCUCAAAUAGUUCCACCUGGACCUUUUCAUGGUUGUUGGCGGUACCUUUGUUUGCAGUCACAAGUUGGUCCAAUAACCCACGUCGGCUCACGUUUAGAAUUACCGAGGAAGUAAAACGUUCAUCUAUGAACUUCAUCAGUACUGUAGGAAAACAAAACGCCUGCCCAUUGGAGUGCAUAGUGAAACAACACUGCAGUCAAGCUGUGUACAUAAGGGCACUUCCAAAUCCCACAAUUUACCACUCGCAGCUCAUCGAAUACCAAAUCACAGUCAGUGACGCAACCACUCAAACUAUUACGCCUCUAGGCAUCAAUUUGGCACCCGUCACAUAUUUCCACUCAUUUAACACAUGCAAAAUAAGUUUCCUAAAUAUCCUACGUACGUUUACGAGGUUUUUAGAUUUACGUACAUCUCAAAACGACCUGGUCAGGUUUAGGAUUUUGUUUUACCGGUUUUCAUUGUUUAAAGCACAGUGACAAAGAUGGAUUCUGUCCCGUUCCUGCUCUUGUUGGUAAACUAUGACAGUAACGUGACAACGGUGAGGUAAAAUACCUCAGACUUGCUUUCACGCGGGACACUAAGCUGUCUUUGUGCUGUAGACCAUCUCACGAUGAUGCCGACGGGAUUCAAAGUUAGAUUAAAAAAGCCUGAUGUGUCUUUUAGAGACACUAAAGGGUUCCUUGCUGUGUCAGUCUCAUCCCGCUGAGGGGCCAAGUGUCGAUAUUUGAUAAAUUGGGAUUGAGCUGCUGAAUCAGGUGCUGCGCUCAGCGUGGCGACUUUGUCUCGUUUGGAAAAUGUCAUCCCAUAAGAAAGGUUGUGCUAAAUCGCUCAUCUUGUACUUGCAUGUCAAGUGAAGCUUUAAAUUGAAUCCUGGUAGUUGCAACUGUCGAAAAAACCCCGCAGCCCUUAAAGAUUGUGCGGAAGGGGAGCUGGCUUAAUAACUAUUCUAAAUGUGUGAGAUAGUGGGAGAUCUGGGAGAUCUCUUGCUGUAAAAAGGCAAGACAAGCUUUGCAAAACCUGUUUAUUCAUCAGGGCUCCACCUCUCUGCCUGUGCUUACUCCAUCAGCUGAUUGGGCACUGUUCAUAUUUAUGCAUGUUUAAUGAAUCAUUGUGGAAUUCUAAUGAAGUCUGUCCUGAUUGGAAUUGUGUGUGUCAGGUAUCAGCGUUUACUGCUUGGCUGUGCAGGUUGCAGCCUUCAUGAGCAAAAGCCAAAGCACAGAACGAAGUAUGUGUUAAUAUUCAAUAACUUCAAAUUCUCAGCGUUUAAUUAAGAAGGUGCGGAAGAAUGAAAGAGAAGCACUUUGACUUAGUUCUUAAUAAUUUAUUGCUAAGUAAAAAAAAAUACUUUAAACCCCAAUUUGAUGAUGAUGAAGCUGAUGAUGCAGGAAGACAUCACCACGACUGUCAAUAAAUUAUUUAUCUCGCAGUUUUCAUAAUUUAAUGUCCAUUUUCUUCAAAUAGACUAGUAGAAAAGUCUGCUUUGUGUUUACCCGCCGCGUCAGUGACACGAGUCGUAUCAGCUGUGAGCCUCGUGUUAGAACAAACAUCGACCCAUGUAGAGUCCCGCCGGUCUCAGACAGCCGAGUGGCACUUACCAACUGUCAAUAUUUGACGAGACGGGAAAGUGAGACCGGCUUGUCGGAUGUGUACAGGGAAGAUUUCAGAAUAUGAAAACUGUAAUUGUUCACCAGAAAACCUUGGUGGGGUCAUUUGAAGGUACCAUCUGCUCCGAUAAUAUAAUUGAAACCCAUGUUUUUAAUCAAGUCAUAAUAAUAACAUUAUUAUAUACUAUAUACCAGAGCAACAUCUAUUUCCUUAAACCACAUCAUCCGUCCCACCAAAAUGAGUUAUCUCAACGCACAGCUGAGCCCGAACAAUAACAGCAUCUGAUUUUUGUUCCAGCAGAACGCACAGACCCCAGGACAAGACCUCAGCAGUGUUAAAAGAACAGAACUCCAUGACACUAACUACAAAACACGCCUGACAGUUUCCGACGAACUGAGAGAGAGAGAGAGAGAGAGAGAGAGAGAGAGAGAGAGAGAGAGAGAGAGAGAGAGAGAGAGAGAGAGAUUUUUUUUUUUUGAUUUUUUAGAAAAACAAUUUAUUUUACAUAUUUCAACAACUUUGUCAAUGUGUUAAAAAGAGGUCACAGAUUUCC